AGAACGAACGCUGGCGGCGUGCCUAACACAUGCAAGUCGUGCGGGAAAAGUGGGGGCAACUCCACGAGUAGAGCGGCGCACGGGUGAGUAACACGUAGGUAACCUGCCUUCGAGACUGGGAUAACCUGUCGAAAGACGGGCUAAUACCGGAUAAGACCACGGGGGUUGCGGCUCCCGCGGUAAAAAGUGGCCUCUGCUUGCAAGCUACUGCUCGAGGAUGGGCCUGCGCGCCAUUAGCUAGUUGGCGGGUAACGGCCACCAAGGCAAAGAUGGCUAGCUGGUCUGAGAGGAUGGCCAGCCACACUGGGACUGAGACACGGCCCAGACUCCUACGGGAGGCAGCAGUGGGGAAUAUUGCGCAGUGGGCGAAAGCCUGACGCAGCGACGCCGCGUGGGUGAUGAAGGCCUUCGGGUCGUAAAGCCCUGUCGGGAGGGACGAAACCUCGGCGACCUAACACGUCGCCGACCUGACGGUACCUCCUAAGGAAGCACCGGCUAACUCCGUG
This 506-nucleotide ribosomal RNA is filed under the name uncultured delta proteobacterium. RNAcentral's name for it is "bacterial SSU rRNA". It matches the Rfam family "Bacterial small subunit ribosomal RNA", at positions 26 to 507 of the family's 1533-position model. Lineage: Bacteria; Deltaproteobacteria. The record is from RNAcentral.